UAGCAGAGAGGCCACCAAUCUCUCUGUCCACAUGUACUCCCCAUCACACAUGCAGCAAUUUCUUCAAUGUCUGCAACACAGCCGUGGGAAUAAGUCCCUGGCAGCAGAGGUAGCUGUCCAUGUCCACUGUCAGCCCCAAGAUCACCAACUCACAGCCACAAACUGGACUCCUACCCUGAAGGGGGGCACUCACCAGUACUGCCUGGAUCUCUUGGGCUGCAAGAAGCAGCAAGGCAUAGCUGCCAGCCCCAGGGUUCCCAGUGCCGAUUCCGACACUGUGAAGAAGCCCUUGGCAGUGACACUGUGUGCUCAUUAUGGAGAGAGGGAAAAUGUUUAGAUCCACUUUGCAGAUUUAGACACAUGGAAAUGCAGCAAAACUGCAGCAUUUCAUGCUUCUGGGAAACUCAGCCUCUUGGUUGUGUGAAGAUCAGUUGUGUGUUUUAUCAUAGCAAACCCCGUAAUAUCAAUGGACUUUUUUUGCCACCAAGUAGCAAUGUCACACUACAAAAAGAAACCCAGGAAGGAAUUCUGCCCCCUGCCCAGAGUCAAGAACCUCUGAAACCUCAGGAGAAUAUUUCAAGACCCAUUCAUCCUCCAUUGGUCAUAACUAUUAACUUUGAAGAAGAGGAGGAUGAGGAAGAUGAAGAUGAAGAUGACAAGGAGAACAAUGCUUCUAGUUUGUGGACAAAGACUCCAGAGGAAAUUGAAGAAGAAAGGGCCAUAAAAGAAAUGUGCUAUAAGUCUGGUGAAUACUACAGAUUUCACACUCCUCCAGACAUUUCAGCAAAAAGCAUAACAUCAACAGUGGAAAAAGAGUUAGCAAAACCCUUGGAAAAUGGCAAUGAAUUGCAAGAAGGGGAUGGUCUAACAGUUCCAACGAAGUUCAAUAUAUUUGAAAGACAAGGUGAGAUAAAAGCAUCAUUGGAUGGAAAACCAAGAACUGACCUUGCUGCUUUUGAAAAUGGAGGGGGUGACUGUUAUGUACCACAAAGGAUCAUAUUUCUCGGAGUGGAUGAAAGUGAAGCUUUAACUGAAGAGAACGAAUUCAUGAUGUCAAAAGGUUCAAACGGUAGUAAAGAUAUCAAGGACAGUUCUCAUCCAAAGCGUCCGGUGACUACAAGACCAGUACCUACAACACACGUAUUAAAUGCUACUGAGAAUAUCAACACAAAAUGCAAAGAGGAUCCUUCUUCAAGUGAGAUGUCCUUGGUGAAUGAUGCUCAGUCAGCGAGGAAACCUAACUUUAAAGGGGUGAAAAAAAAGAAAUGGAUUUAUGAGGAACCAAAGAAUCCCCAAGGCACAGGGACAAGGAAAGCAGCACAGGCUCCAAACCCCAAAAACAAAAUGAGCUACCAACGAAAUGAUAAAAACAGGAACACGGAGAAUGCAUCCUAUGUUCAUGUUCAGAGAGAAACCGUAAGGAGUGUUUCAUUGAACUCACCAGCACGUGGUAGGCCAACAAAUGGAACUUAUAACAAAGUCAAUGUUAACAAGGAACCCAAACUCAACCUCUGUCCAGACAAAUAUACCUCAACAUCCUAUAAUGCUUCAACAUGGAGAAAAAGAAUUCCUUUUUCAAAAACAUACUCAAAAACUGAAAAGAUAUAUUCAGAUAUAGAAGGCAAGGCACUGAUGCUACGGGGACAGAUAUUUUCGGUAAAGAAUAUCUGAAGUGAAUGUGGUUAAGGCAGAAGACACAAGGAAGAAAAUGUAUGUAAAAAUGAAGAAUUGCUCAUCAAGCAAGCCACUUCCUCAUUAAGCCACAGUUCUCAAUGCUUCAGUCUUCUAGAGAGACACAACCCAAGAUGAGAAAGAAGACAUACAAAUGAAUCAGCAUAUAAUGCUUUUAUGUUUGUGAAGUGCUUUACCUAUGUUCUCUCGAUCCUUACAGUCACCCUAUAAGGCACUAUUCUGAGCUCUGGAAUACAAAGAGUCCCUGUUCUCACGGAAUGGGGAAAACAACAUGCAGACAAAUACAGUGGCAUCUACUUCUUGGGGAGUGAAGUUGAUGACUUUGAACAGUCCUGCCCCAGUUCAUUCCAAUUCACUGAAAUAUCAAAUAUCACCUUUAUGAUGUCAUUGGUCCUCUAUGCAAGAAGUUCUGAUGUCUACCAUUUAUA
Molecule: RNA transcript, 2120 nt
Organism: Sarcophilus harrisii (Tasmanian devil)
Lineage: Eukaryota; Metazoa; Chordata; Mammalia; Dasyuromorphia; Dasyuridae
Gene: ZC3H11D
Gene name: chromosome 5 C12orf50 homolog
Exons: 16
Source: RefSeq, a predicted model, not a curated record